UACGAAGGGAGCUAGCGUUGUUCGGAAUCACUGGGCGUAAAGCGCACGUAGGCGGAUUUGUCAGUCAGUGGUGAAAGCCCGGAGCUCAACUCCGGAACUGCCAUUGAAACUGUGAGACUUGAGGACGAGAGAGGUGAGUGGAAUUCCCAGUGUAGAGGUGAAAUUCGUAGAUAUUGGGAAGAACACCGGUGGCGAAGGCGGCUCACUGGCUCGUUUCUGACGCUCAGGCGCGACAGCGUGGGGAUCAAACAGG
RNAcentral lists this ribosomal RNA (253 nucleotides) under uncultured bacterium. RNAcentral's name for it is "partial 16S ribosomal RNA". It matches the Rfam family "Bacterial small subunit ribosomal RNA", at positions 524 to 776 of the family's 1533-position model. The record is from RNAcentral.